GUCAUAUGCUUCGUUCAAGGGCUAAGCCAUGCACGUGUGAGAGCAAGUUGCCACUGCUGCCCAACCUGUCUGCGAAUGGCUCAUUAGACCAGCACUGAUCUCAGCAGGGAGUGCGCGUUCGCUAUCUGAGAUGGUGAAAGUGAGGCUGCCGAGCCGCGCCCCUUCGGGGUAGCCAGGCUUGCCCGUCCCUUAGCCCCAAGGCGACUCCCAUGUGGGCUUUUGAAGAGGGGGACAAGCUGGUAGGUUCGCGUUCCUCAGAACACCCUCUCUUUCUGAAACAGAAGGCUAAUGCAUGUGGUUGCUACGUCCUGUGCAUUCCUUCUGGAAUGCCACGGGAUCCACCGGGCUGAGACAAAGAAGGAGUGUGCCGCCCUAACAAGGGCAGGCCCUUCAGGUGGAAGCAAGCCUUCUGCGGAGGAUCGAGAGGGGGUUGCCGACCGGGGAAAAGGUCACUUCACGAAGGGUGUCCUCGACUCCGGACUGGUCUUUCCCUCUCAGAUAGCGAUGCCACUGUGCGCCAAAUGCACCAGUAGGGAACUGCGAUACCUACUACCCUGCCCGAGAUUCUGCCCUAUCAGCCAUGACGGUGGUGCAAAGGACCACGGUGGCCGUUACGGGUAACGCGGAAUGAGGGUUCGAUUCCGGAGAAGCAGCCUGAAAAACGGCUACUACGACCAAGGUUGGCAGCAGGCGCGCAACUUGCUCAAUAUCGGUGUGCAUUGGUGAAGCAGUGACGAGAAGUGCGACCAAUCAGCCGGACUAUUGUUCGGGAUUGGUGGAAUGAAUGAGGACCCAAGGAAUGCAGUGAGCAUCCACUUGUGGGCAAGUCUGGUGCCAGCAGCCGCGGUAAUUCCAGCACAAGUGGCCUACUUUGACGUUGUUGCCGUUAAAAAGCUCGUAGUUUGUUGGCAUCCGAGACCUGCCCCGGAUACCUCCUGGCUUCUGCCGGGUAAGGCUGAAACGGGCAACUUGCGGUGCCACCCCUACCUUGGCCUCCUGCUUUCUCCCCACGGCUUUACCGUUCUACGGGUUUCCCUGGGCUGCAAAGUCCAGAAAGCCUGCCGGGAGUCUGCUAGAGUGCUUGGGUUUGGGGGCUUCUCAGUGGGAGCGAUUUUCCGAAGAUAGAGGGCGAGGAGGCGGCCUCACUCCCAGACCUUCCCGUGUCAACACUUCGAGUUGCUAGGGUCGGUUACCUGGCUCGGGCGAGGUGCAGCUCUCCAACCUCUCUGCGCAGUUUUCUGCGAAUGGCCUACAUCCUGAAACUCGGCCGAGUGGCCCAUGGGGAUUCUCAGCACGAAGGUCAUACGGACUUUCAAUGGGGAUUCCCUGUGUGGUCAAGGAGAUGCCCACUGGGCUUGUACCAUGAGUAAAGCUAAGCGCUUCACGCAGUAGUCCUUCCUGUGCCGAUCGGAUGUCCAAGCGUGGCAUGACAAGGGACCGGUCCUCUGGACCCCAUGUUCUGGUAUUCUUUACUGGCCUAUCUUGGACGAACUUCGCUUCCCACGCGAAGUCUCCUACGGGUUGACCCCUGGUUUGUAAGCGCGGUGUGUUAUGCAGGCCUUGGUAGCUUCUGCUUCCAAGGCGCUGAUCACCGCGUGCCUCGGCGAUCCCAUGGAGACGGAGCCGGGAACGAGGUGUUGACGGAGGUCGUUUCGGUGCUCAGGGGACUGCGCGGCGAGCGGUGAAACGCUUUGACCCGUGUCAGGACCACCAAAGGCGAAAGCACUGAGCGGGACUCGACCUGCCAAUCAAGAGCGAGUGUGCGGUGAUCGAAGAGGAUCAGAUACCCUCGUAGUCCGCGCUGUAAACCGUGCCUACCGAGGAUAGGGGCAGCGUUCCUUCGGAAUGUCUACCCCUGUCCUUCCCCCGCAACGAGAAAUCCAAGUGUAUGGGUUCAGGGGGGAGUACGGUUGCAAGACUGAAACUUAAAGGAAUUGACGGAAUGGCACCACAAGGCGUGGAGUGUGCGGCUUAAUUUGACUCAACACGGGGAACGUUACCUGGAUAGCGCGUGGAAAGGAUAUGACAGGCUGAAUCACUUUCGUGAUAACUCGGGAAGUGGUGCAUGGUCGUUCUUGGUUGGUGAAGCGAUUUGUCUGGUUGAUUCCGAUAACGAGCGAGGUCUUCGCCUUCCAGUAGCCAGCGCUCUCACCAGUAGGGGACUUUGGUUGGAAUUCCUUCGGGGAUCUCCGGACCAACCCUGAGAGUAGCGCGCGGUUGCUUCUCAGUGGGCUCAGGUACUUCGUCUUCGACUAAGUACCUACAGCCGGAAGCCGACAGCAGGUCUGUGAUGCCCUUAGAUGCCCUGGGCUGCACGCGCACGACAAUGGUGUUGUGAGCGUGUGGAAAAUCCCCAGUGGCAUGGCUUAGCGAAAGGUCUUGGGAUUCGUCUCUCGGCCGGCCGCUUUGCCGCUCCACCGCUAUGCAGGAGUUCCCGUGGUUUGACGAUGAAUCGGGAAAUCCCAAAGCUCUCAUGGACGUGAGAUGGGAUCGGUGCUUGCCACUGUUCGCCUUCAACGAGGAAUGCCCAGUAAGUGCAGGUCAUCAGCCUGCGCUGACUGCGUCCCUGCCAUUUGUACACACCGCCCGUCGUUGCUACCGAUGGCGCUGGGAUAAAGGCCCGAGGAGGCUAGUAGAGAGGGCAGACUUGUCUCCCUCUCGAACGAAGAAUUCGGCCGAUAUCUCAUUGCUGGAGGAAGCAAAAGUCGUAACAAGGUAGCUGUAGGUGA
RNAcentral lists this ribosomal RNA (2729 nucleotides) under Menoidium sp. CCAP 1247/6. Its description in RNAcentral is "SSU rRNA". It matches the Rfam family "Eukaryotic small subunit ribosomal RNA". The record is from RNAcentral. Lineage: Eukaryota; Euglenozoa; Anisonemea; Natomonadida; Astasiidae.